CCCUUAGAUGUUCUGGGCCGCACGCGCGCUACACUGAUGCAUUCAACGAGUUUCUUCCUGGUCCGAGAGGAGUGGGUAACCUUUUGAAAGUGCAUCGUGAUAGGGAUAGACUAUUGCAAUUAUUGGUCUUCAACGAGGAAUUCCUAGUAGACGUAGUUCAUCAGACUGCAUUGAUUACGUCCCUGCCCUUUGUACACACCGCCCGUCGCUCCUACCGAUUGAAUGCUCAGGUGAGCCAUUCGGACUUUCAUCAUGCUGGUUUCCAGUUUUGAUGAAGGAAAGUCUUGCGAACCUUAUCAUUUAGAGGAAGGAGAAGUCGUAACA
Molecule: ribosomal RNA, 324 nt
Filed under: uncultured eukaryote
Lineage: Eukaryota
Description: partial 18S ribosomal RNA
Rfam family: Eukaryotic small subunit ribosomal RNA
Source: RNAcentral